This is a non-coding RNA of Odocoileus virginianus texanus, 760 nucleotides long. The record is from RefSeq and is a predicted model, not a curated record. Lineage: Eukaryota; Metazoa; Chordata; Mammalia; Artiodactyla; Cervidae.
AUAACCUACAGGUACUCUUUUAUCACUUCUCUUCCCUAGGCGGGUUGUGUGUGUGUCUAUUCUCUCCCUUGCUAUAGUCUUCAGCUCUUCUCUGGUUCCAAAAUGGUUUGCAGUACUAAGGCUAAAAAGAGAUAAAUUCAUUUUUGAGCUGUGACCAUAUGCUGCCUGGAAGCCUAUCCUCGUAGUUGGCAUUUUACUCAUGUUACUCUAGUGUUCAGCAUCUCAAAGUCCCGUGUGUGUGCCUUGGGAUUUAACAUGGGCUCUCCCGUCUAAUCAUUUCACUCCGUCCCCCGCAGCGUGGUGAGGUUUCAGUCUAGAAGACAGCCCUGGCACCUCUAAACUGUGGAAAACUGGAGCAGCACUAAUUAAAGUUGAGAAAGUGGAACUUGAGGUGUGCUCGCUGUUACUCUGGCACCAGAAUGGGAUAUGUACCAAAACCAUUUGAGGGGAGAAAGAGUGAUGCCACCUUCUUUAAAUGACUGGGGAUCUGCAAAACCGUACCAGAUGAGGAAACUGAACAACAAAGAGGUUAACUAUUUUGCUUUGGGUGACCUUGAUAGCAAGUGAAGAGGCUGAGAGAAGAACCUGGAGCAUCUGACCGGGAUGCAGCACCGACUAUGCUCCCAUGGGGUGUUCUUAACACCCUUCAGACUUAGCUUCCUUGUCUGUAAAUUGGGGCCAUUCAUUUCUAUGCUCAGCCAGUUGGUGGUGAGUUUGCAAGAGAAUAUGAAUAAAGUAUCAAGCACCCUAUGGCCCAGUG